GUAGGGAAUAUUGCGCAAUGGACGAAAGUCUGACGCAGCGACGCCGCGUGAGUGAUGAAGGCCUUAGGGUCGUAAAGCUCUGUUGAAUGGGAAGAAAAAAAUGACGGUACCAUUCGAGGAAGGACCGGCUAACUUCGUGCCAGCAGCCGCGGUAAUACGAGGGGUCCUAGCGUUGUUCGGAAUCAUUGGGCGUAAAGGGUGUGUAGGUGGCCAUGUAAGUCAGGUGUGAAAGCCCCGGGCUCAACCCGGGAAGUGCACUUGAUACUGCGUGGCUUGAGUACCGAAGAGGGUAGUGGAAUUCCAGGUGUAGUGGUGAAAUACGUAGAGAUCGGGAGGAACAUCCGUGGCGAAGGCGGCCAUCUGGACCAGCACUGACACUGAGGCACGAAAGCGUGGGGAGCAAACAGGAUUAGAAACCCCUGUAGUCC
This 428-nucleotide ribosomal RNA is filed under the name uncultured bacterium. RNAcentral's name for it is "partial 16S ribosomal RNA". It matches the Rfam family "Bacterial small subunit ribosomal RNA", at positions 354 to 796 of the family's 1533-position model. The record is from RNAcentral.